UGGGGAAUAUUGGGCAAUGGGCGAAAGCCUGACCCAGCAACGCCGCGUGAAGGAAGAAGGUCUUCGGAUUGUAAACUUCUUUUAUGAGGGACGAAGGACGUGACGGUACCUCAUGAAUAAGCCACGGCUAACUACGUGCCAGCAGCCGCGGUAAUACGUAGGUGGCAAGCGUUAUCCGGAUUUACUGGGUGUAAAGGGCGCGUAGGCGGGGAUGCAAGUCAGAUGUGAAAUCUAUGGGCUUAACUCAUAAACUGCAUUUGAAACUGUGUCUCUUGAGUGCUGGAGAGGUAGACGGAAUUCCUUGUGUAGCGGUGAAAUGCGUAGAUAUAAGGAAGAACACCAGUGGCGAAAGCGGUCUACUGGACAGUAACUGACGCUGAGGCGCGAAAGCGUGGGGAGCAAACAGGAUUAGAUACCCUGGUA
Molecule: ribosomal RNA, 423 nt
Filed under: uncultured bacterium
Lineage: Bacteria
Description: bacterial SSU rRNA
Rfam family: Bacterial small subunit ribosomal RNA
Source: RNAcentral